GAUGAACGCUGGCGGCGUGCUUAACACAUGCAAGUCGAACGAAGCACUUUGAAACAAUCCUCCGGGUUGAUUUGAUUUGUGACUGAGUGGCGGACGGGUGAGUAACGCGUGGGUAACCUGCCUUGUACAGGGGGAUAACAGUUAGAAAUGACUGCUAAUACCGCAUAAGCGCACGGUGUCGCAUGACACAGUGUGAAAAACUCCGGUGGUACAAGAUGGACCCGCGUCUGAUUAGCUUGUUGGUGAGGUAACGGCUCACCAAGGCGACGAUCAGUAGCCGACUUGAGAGAGUGAUCGGCCACAUUGGGACUGAGACACGGCCCAAACUCCUACGGGAGGCAGCAGUGGGGAAUAUUGCACAAUGGGGGAAACCCUGAUGCAGCGACGCCGCGUGAGUGAUGAAGUAUUUCGGUAUGUAAAACUCUAAUCAGCAAGGAAGAUAAAUGACGGUACUUGACUAAGAAGCCCCGGNUAACUACGUGCCAGCAG
Molecule: ribosomal RNA, 489 nt
Filed under: uncultured bacterium
Lineage: Bacteria
Description: bacterial SSU rRNA
Rfam family: Bacterial small subunit ribosomal RNA
Source: RNAcentral